Molecule: long non-coding RNA, 261 nt
Organism: Lolium rigidum
Lineage: Eukaryota; Viridiplantae; Streptophyta; Magnoliopsida; Poales; Poaceae
Exons: 3
Source: RefSeq, a predicted model, not a curated record
CCGUCAGCAUCGCGUGCAGCAGGCAAGGAGCUGCUUUGUUAGUUCAGUUGUUGCAGUACGCCUGUUUGACAUGAUCUGAAGCUAGCACAGCUGCUGGGCCUGCCGUCUGUGUCCUGUGCUAGCUUCCCUCCGGUGAGACAAGGAUCAGCAUCCAGCCCCAGUCUGUUUCUCUGGUCCUGCGCUUCAGCCGCACAGGCUCUCUUUCUUUUCGCAUCUGCUUCUUCACGGAUAGGAUCGCGAAGUGGUGUGGUGAGAUACGAC